CCAUUUCCCUCGUUCUUUGUCGUUGUUUCCCGAACAUGUCUUUGAAAAUGUCAGACAAACUCGUGUGGGGUUCACACACAUAAACCUGGUUCUUAGUCUUGGAUCUGGAGACACAGAAUCGUGUUUGUCAGAGUUAAAGUUGGAUUUGUUUGUGCGGUGUAAAUGUAAAUAUGACAAUGCAAGAUUCAAAGCUGCACAGGUCUCAACACACAAGAGACAGACAGACAGUUUCAUAAAGACUUCAACAUGCUGGACCAGAGAUGAUUCUCAGCUUAAACUUGCCUACAGAAGAGGAAAGUAGGGAUGGCCACAUAUAAGGUGGAACAAGGCUCUGAGAAAGGAUUGAAGCCAGAACUACUGAAGUCCUGUGCCCCGAGAGAAGUCCUGAUACACUGUCAUUGUCACAACUUUCUACUCUACUCUGAAGAAACCAGGACCUGGACAACACCUCACUUCUCUGAGUUCUUCAGGACAAGAUUUUUCAACAUGCUGAAGUCUGUGGCCAGAGAAGACAGUAACUCUGACAACAGCAGCUGGUUUCUUCUUGUACACACUGAGCAGAACAAGACCCAGAUGGACUGUACCACUUCUGUGAGUUCUUCAACACCAAGAAGCCUUUGAGGGAAGAAGUCUACAUCCAAGUGUAACAGUAAGAAAUAAUCUAAGCAGGACCAAUGUUAUUAUAUAUUAUCCCUGCAUUGCUACAGAUUCUAGCUACACUGGUGGCAGCUUUUAACAUUUCAGUUUUACUCUUCUUUGACAAGUUUGUAGACAAUCUGAGUGAGAUUCAAAAUGUUGCAUUUUGUGCUUCAUACAGACAUGAUGAAGUCUGUGGCCAGUCAGAAGACAGUAACUUUGACAGCUGGUUUCUUCUUGUCUCGAAUUUAUCACAGAGACGAAAUUAUCUAUUUUGCUUAUUGCUGCCUAUAGUUAAAAGCUACAUGUAUCAAAUGAUAUAGAUAUAAGAAUAAUAAGCCACAUCAGUUUAUAUGAUAUACUUGUUACUUUAGUAGUAUAUGUAAGACAAACUUAAUGUGUGGUUUAUAUAAUAAGAAACAUGGCAUUAAGACUUGAGGUGCAGAAAUCUGCAUUAAAAAAAAGGAAUGUUUAUACUGAUUAACUUGCCAUGACCUUAGAAGUAGUAUUUAGAAGUAAUUGAAAAAUUUGUAAUGUCAUGUUCUUGGUUAGUUAUUUCAAUAUUGUAAUUUGGGAAGGGAACUUUGAAAUACACAC
Branchiostoma floridae (Florida lancelet) is the source of this 1233-nucleotide RNA transcript. RefSeq lists it as uncharacterized. Lineage: Eukaryota; Metazoa; Chordata; Leptocardii; Amphioxiformes; Branchiostomatidae. The transcript has 5 exons. The record is from RefSeq and is a predicted model, not a curated record.